This 433-nucleotide ribosomal RNA is filed under the name uncultured bacterium. RNAcentral describes it as "partial 16S ribosomal RNA". It matches the Rfam family "Bacterial small subunit ribosomal RNA", at positions 29 to 507 of the family's 1533-position model. The record is from RNAcentral.
AACGAACGCUGGCGGCAUGCCUAACACAUGCAAGUCGAACGAGACCUUCGGGUCUCGUGGCGCAAGGGUGCGUAACGCGUGGGAACCUGCCCUUAGGUUCGGAAUAACUCCCCGAAAGGGGUGCUAAUACCGGAUAAUGUCUUCGGACCAAAGAUUUAUCGCCUUUGGAUGGGCCCGCGUUGGAUUAGCUAGUUGGUAGGGUAAAAGCCUACCAAGGCGACGAUCCAUAGCUGGUCUGAGAGGAUGAUCAGCCACACUGGGACUGAGACACGGCCCAGACUCCUACGGGAGGCAGCAGUGGGGAAUAUUGGACAAUGGGCGAAAGCCUGAUCCAGCAAUGCCGCGUGAGUGAUGAAGGCCUUAGGGUUGUAAAGCUCUUUUACCCGGGAUGAUAAUGACAGUACCGGGAGAAUAAGCUCCGGCUAACUCCGUG